Molecule: ribosomal RNA, 253 nt
Filed under: uncultured bacterium
Lineage: Bacteria
Description: partial 16S ribosomal RNA
Rfam family: Bacterial small subunit ribosomal RNA
Source: RNAcentral
UACAGAGGUCUCAGGCGUUGUUCGGAUUCAUUGGGCGUAAAGGGUGCGUAGGCGGCGCGGUAAGUCGGGUGUGAAAUCUCGGGGCUUAACUCCGAAACUGCAUUCGAUACUGCCGUGCUUGAGGACUGGAGAGGAGACUGGAAUUUACGGUGUAGCGGUGAAAUGCGUAGAUAUCGUAAGGAAGACCAGUGGCGAAGGCGGGUCUCUGGACAGUUCCUGACGCUGAGGCACGAAGGCCAGGGGAGCAAACGGG